AAUGUCGUAACAAGGUUUCCGUAGGUGAACCUGCGGAAGGAUCAUUACCCUAGAGUUGUAGGGCCUUUGCCUGCUAUCUCUUACCCAAUGUCUUUUGGAGUACCUUCGUUUCCCUCGGCGGGUUUCGCCCUGCCGAUUUGGACAAUUUUCAAACCCAUUUGGCAGGUUGCAAAUCAGCGGUCUGAAAAAAAUCUAAUUAGUUACAA
This 206-nucleotide unclassified non-coding RNA is filed under the name plant metagenome. RNAcentral describes it as "partial contains small subunit ribosomal RNA and internal transcribed spacer 1". The stretch from base 1 to 47 matches the Rfam family "Eukaryotic small subunit ribosomal RNA", at positions 1785 to 1831 of the family's 1831-position model. The record is from RNAcentral.